RNAcentral lists this long non-coding RNA (1038 nucleotides) under Gossypium barbadense (sea-island cotton). RNAcentral's name for it is "long non-coding RNA (GBAR_LNC023506)". The record is from RNAcentral. Lineage: Eukaryota; Viridiplantae; Streptophyta; Magnoliopsida; Malvales; Malvaceae.
CAAAAUUGAAGGAAUCUUUUGAAUACCUUUUCUGGGCUCUGGCAAUUCAGUCUUGGUGGAGAAGUAAGUUACCUUUGACUUAUUAUUAUGAUUUUAGGUUCAUCUAAUGCUUAUUUUUUCUAGAUUUAUCAAAGAAAUUCCGAGAGUUGCUCGUAUCUCAAAUCUUGUGGUAUGAACACAUGGAGCUGGAGGCAAGCGUUUGACGGUUAUCAUUCUCAAGUUGGAUUGGUGAGCUUAUGUUCAUCCCAUUGUGGAACCCAAGAAGAUACUGGAAAAAUGUUAAAUGAUUUGAGUUCAUUUUGAAGUGAAGAGCUGGUUCCAUGGUAGAGCCAUUGGAAUUGAUAUUUUCUUAUCUUGGAUUUUGAUCAUCAGAUCAGUUGGGGAUGAAGUCUCUUUGUAUGUUAUUGCCUUUCAAGUUGUUUAAGCAGCAUUGUGGUGAGGUGAUAUUAAGAUUCAUGCUUUUUUCUUUUCGGCAGUUGACUCCAUAGGAUCAGUGGAGGACUCCAUUCAGCUUCAUUGAAAAGUAGAGAUUUAAUCAUCUGGUAUCUCAAUAUACUCAUUGCAUUUUCCUUCAAUGAUAUCUUGAUUCGUUGAUUUAUGAUUCAUGUCUAUUUAUACUGGAAUUGCAGUCGCAGAUUAAGGGUGGGUUUGAUAUGAUAUCUUCGGUCUCACCAAAAAAACAAGUUCCACUAAAUUUCUAGUGUUAAUGUAAGGUUGUGCCCUAUGCCUAAUCUUUUUUAUCUCACUUCAUAGAUGUGCUUUUUACUUGCAGAGUUUAAAACAAUGUAGUAUAAGUCAGUCAAAACCUAGAGAUUAAGCUUUGACUUUUUAAAUAUGCUACUGUGAAGGGAAUGAAGAUGUCAGUGAUUGGUUUAAGAAAAGCAGAUGAGGAAACAGAGUCAAGACGACAUUAAUGGCAGAUGAGUAAGCUUCUAAUUUCUUCUAUUGAGUUAUUGCCAUAUAUUUGUGGUUGAACCGAGACGUCGAGGCUGUAUUGCAAUUUGUUAACAGAUUUUCCUAGUUGAUAUCAUUCAACUU